CCUGUAGCUCAGUUGGUAGAGCAAUGGACUGAAAAUCCAUGUGUCGGCAGUUCAAUUCUGCCUGG
RNAcentral lists this transfer RNA (65 nucleotides) under uncultured Bulleidia sp. It matches the Rfam family "tRNA", at positions 5 to 66 of the family's 71-position model. From Rfam's summary of the family: Transfer RNA (tRNA) molecules are approximately 80 nucleotides in length. Their secondary structure includes four short double-helical elements and three loops (D, anti-codon, and T loops). Lineage: Bacteria; Bacillati; Bacillota; Erysipelotrichia; Erysipelotrichales; Erysipelotrichaceae. The record is from RNAcentral.